CUUUAAACAAUAGAAUGUGUCUGUGAUGGAAGGUGUCUUUAAGAAAUAGAAUGUGUCUGUGAUGGAAGGUGUGGUGUCUUUAAGAAAUAGAAUGUGUCUGUGAUGGAAGGUGUCUUUAAACAAUAGAAUGUGUCUGUGAUGGAAGAUGUGGUGUCUUUAAACAAUAGAAUGUGUCUGUGAUGGAAGGUGUCUUUAAACAAUAGAAUGUGUCUGUGAUGGAAGGUGUCUUUAAACAAUAGAAUGUGUCUGUGAUGGAAGGUGUCUUUAAACAAUAGAAUGUGUCUGUGAUGGAAGGUGUCUUUAAGAAAUAGAAUGUGUCUGUGAUGGAAGAUGUCUUUAAACAAUAGAAUGUGUCUGUGAUGGAAGGUGCUUUUAAACAAUAGAAUGUGUCUGUGAUGGAAGGUGUGGUACCUUUAAACAAUAGAAUGUGUCUGUGAUGGAAGGUGUCUUUAAACAAUAGAAUGUGUCUGUGAUGGAAGGUGUGGUGCCUUUAAACAAUAGAAUGUGUCUGUGAUGGAAGGUGUAUUUAAACAAUAGACUGUGUCUGUGAUGGAAGGUGCCUUUAAACAAUAGACUGUGUCUGUGAUGGAAGGUGUCUUUAAGAAAUAGAAUGUGUCUGUGAUGGAAGGUGUGGUGCCUUUAAACAAUAGAAUGUGUCUGUGAUGGAAGGUGUGUUGCCUUUAAACAAUAGACUGUGUCUGUGAUGGAAGGUGCCUUUAAACAAUAGACUGUCUGUGAUGGAAGGUGUCUUUAAGAAAUAGAAUGUGUCUGUGAUGGAAGGUGUGGUGCCUUUAAACAAUAGAAUGUGUCUGUGAUGGAAGGUGCCUUUAAACAAUAGACUGUGUCUGUGAUGGAAUGUGUCUUUAAGAAAUAGAAUGUGUCUGUGAUGGAAGGUGUGGUGCCUUUAAACAAUAGACUGUGUCUGUGAUGGAAGGUGUCUUUAAGAAAUAGAAUGUGUCUGUGAUGGAAGGUGUGGUGCCUUUAAACAAUAGAAUGUGUCUGUGAUGGAAGGUGUGUUGCCUUUAAACAAUAGACUGUGUCUGUGAUGGAAGGUGUCUUUAAGAAAUAAAAUGUGUCUGUGAUGGAAGGUGUGGUGCCUUUAAACAAUAGAAUGUGUCUGUGAUGGAAGGUGUGUUGCCUUUAAACAAUAGACUGUGUCUGUGAUGGAAGGUGUGUUGCCUUUAAACAAUAGAAUGUGUCUGUGAUGGAAGGUGUCUUUAAACAAUAGAAUGUAUCUGUGAUGGAAGGUGUCUUUAAACAAUAGAAUGUGUCUGUGAUGGAAGGUGUGGUGUCUUUAAACAAUAGAAUGUGUCUGUGAUGGAAGGUGUGGUGCCUUUAACCUGUUAUGGCUGCAUCCCUUUUAAACAAUAGAAUGUGUCUGUGAUGGAAGGUGUGGUGCCUUUAAACAAUAGAAUGUGUCUGUGAUGGAAGGUGUCUUUAAACAAUAGAAUGUGUCUGUGAUGGAAGGUGUGUUGUAUUUAAGAAUAGCUGGGUUGUAGCUGUAUGUUAUUCAGCAUGAAUGUGAUUUUCCCAGUAGCAUCUGGCUCUUGUGUAAGAGACUAGGGUCAGAGGGCACAGACCUUUCUAC
This is a long non-coding RNA of Oncorhynchus tshawytscha (Chinook salmon), 1588 nucleotides long. NCBI's taxonomy places the organism in Eukaryota, Metazoa, Chordata, Actinopteri, Salmoniformes, Salmonidae. The record is from Ensembl.